UGUUGUAUCCUGCCCCCAGGUCGCCUUACGUAUCGCGUGAGGGUGAAAUGGGAAGUCCGGUGAAAAUCCGGCGCUGGCCCGCAACCGUGAGAGGGGACGGCGGACACAGAUAAGCCACUGCCUGCAGCAGGUGGGAAGGCGUGUCCGGCCGGCAGAUCCUCAAGCCGGGAGACCAGCCUGAGGGGCGUAACCAAU
Molecule: non-coding RNA, 195 nt
Filed under: Desulfohalobium retbaense
Lineage: Bacteria; Pseudomonadati; Thermodesulfobacteriota; Desulfovibrionia; Desulfovibrionales; Desulfohalobiaceae
Also listed under: 1 other name
Source: RNAcentral